Esox lucius (northern pike) is the source of this 1985-nucleotide long non-coding RNA. NCBI's taxonomy places the organism in Eukaryota, Metazoa, Chordata, Actinopteri, Esociformes, Esocidae. The record is from Ensembl.
UUAUGUUGGUGGUACUAGAAUCUCAGUCGAAAACAUCAAAAUUCCAAAGGCAUAGUGGAACCAAAACCGUAAAUAACUUAUGCAUACGGUAGUAAUUCCAUAAAUGCAUCUGUUUCUUGAACCCAUGUCAGGUUCCCCAAACGAUAGUUAAAAGGAGCAGAAUGCCAAAACCUCAGCUGAGAAGUGAUAUUUGACAUUGCAGCCUCCAACGCUAUCUUUCAGACGCUAAAAUAAAACAGAUAAAUAUGGAGGGGGAGGCUGGCCUCCCCAUGGAGCCUCCUGUCUCCAGGCAAGUUCUCUGCUGUUUGAUGGAGCUCAACAGACAGGUUUCUCCAUCGAUGCCACAGAACAUCGGAGGCAACAACUAUACUGCAUCUCCACUCACGGUCUCCCAAAUCUGUCACAGUGGACCAAAAACCCAGGGAAUUCCACCUUCUCUGUGUUUAAAAAGGUCUAAGAGGAGUAUGGAUCUGUGCCUCGAGCGUGAGUUUGGGGUCUACGGACGCACAGUCCAUUGCGUCAACAGGGUGUAAAAUACACACAUAAACAAUAGCCUAGAAUGUACACCAAUUUUGCUGGGCUGCAGUGCGAUAAAAAAAAAUGAGUGUAAAAAUGUUUCAAGUAUCUGACAUCUUCUAACCUCUCACGUGUCUGGUUUGAUUAGCCCAAGUGCGUUCACUGUACAACCACCACCACUCUUGUCAGACAUUCAGUGAAUGAAUUAAUCUUCAUGGUGACAAGGGCGAGGACUCCUACGAGAACCAAAGUGCAGUAUUGAUCACCUUAAAAUCCAAAUGUAGUUUCCAUCUCGUUUGACUGAAAUUGCAUUUUAUUACACUCUGUUGUGUCUCAGUGUACGCUAGUUUAGAUUGAAGUACACCGCACAAGCAGAAUUCUCCUUGUAAUGAGAUGGACACACGGACAACCUUUAUUCUAACCUUUGUAAAGAACGCCCAGGUAAUAAAAGUACAGUGUCAGUUUUGGACACCAACACUUUACUGUGAUCAAAAUGGCAGUUGACAUAAUAGCAGUUUAUUGAUACAAAGAGACAUACACAAAAUACAGGAUCGGUGAAAUCUUUGAAACAAAACUCAGACGAUCCCCUCUUUGUAUAGCCAAGAGGGUGUGAUAAUAUCUCACUAAAUUACUGACCUUUCAUCAAAGCAUGUUUAUCUGGUAUAAAUCAGCCCAGGCUUGUUUUUAUUUUUAGUUUGGCGCUACACCCUAGGUCAACCAAAAGGUGGGUUGCUCUUCUGCAUUCCACAAGAACAGUUGAAUGCAACUACCUUGUCCCCUCUCUCAGUUACAAAUCCAUUAGCACAUCUGGCAUUUUUCUACUGGCUAAUCACACAGACUUUUCCAUCAGCCCAUUACCUAACUAGUAAUUCUACAACCUUCUACAACACUCCCGAUGUUUGUUGUCUGUGUACCUUUAUAAACUAACUCAUGCAGCCAGUGAUUUAAAUUAAUUCCUCCCAGAGGUCUGGCGAUAGUUGAUCCAUGAAAUUAGCAACAGGUGUCAGGGCCCUGAGGAGAGGAUUACUGUAAGACCAAGAAUGCAGAUGUAUAUAGCGCUACAAACAUGAAGCCAUAAAACAAUGUUAGAAUAAUUUCUAAAUGACUUUGUGAUUAAAAAGACCAGAACGAAGUAUUAAAUGCAACAUUAAUUUGACAUUCUGUGUUAAUGCUAUGCCAACACUGAUGUGUCCUUCUACACAAUGAUGUAAAUAGUAGGCUGUACAAAUGCUAUGCUAAUGCCAUGCUAAUGCUAUGCUAAAAUCUACUUCUGUAUUACAAUAAGGUAAAUAGUAGGCUGUACUAAUGCUAUGCUAAUGCCAUGCUAAUGCUAUGCUAACAUCUACUUCUAUAUUACAAUAAGGUAAAUAGUAGGCUGCCCCAGCCGGGCUGCAAUGAGAGGAAUCUCUAACUGGGCAAAUACAGAGUUCGCGAGGCCUCUGGGCUCCACUGUAACUUUGAUUAACUGC